Long non-coding RNA from Rhineura floridana, 4914 nucleotides. RefSeq lists it as uncharacterized. The record is from RefSeq and is a predicted model, not a curated record. The transcript is spliced from 3 exons. NCBI's taxonomy places the organism in Eukaryota, Metazoa, Chordata, Lepidosauria, Squamata, Rhineuridae.
UAUAAGUGUAGGGCAAGGGGAGUGGCUCCAGAACCGGAAUUACACUCUUUUGUUAGACCUCAUAAUGAUGUGUGUCAAGGCCUAGUUAUCAACUGACUGCAGCUUCUCACUAACUCAAUGCCUUUUGAAGUAUAGAGCAGAUAAGACCAAAAUUAUACACUGGGAUCAUUUAACAAAUAGAGUGUCAUUCAAGAAACUUGGAGAAGGUGAAAUUCAAUGGGUAAAAUGAGCUAAUUCUCAAGGAGGUUGCCUUUACAUUUAUGAUGCCUACCACAGCAGCUCAUAGAAGUGACUGCAGGGCCUUUCCUUCAACUCUGCUAAAGACCAGUUCCACCAGGCUCCUCUCUGAAUUGCCAUCUACAGCAGCCAUACCAUCACGCUACAGGAGUAGGAGAGAGAUGGGACUGCAGGGACUUUCCAUCAGCUCUGUUGAAAGACUAGCAUCUUUUGGCUCUUCCUUCCAAAUUGUUUCGUUCCAGCUGAUCCAUUACAAGAACUUUGUAAUUAAGAACUUGUGCUGAGCUUUUUUUUUCCUUCCCCCCAAUCCCUUUUCCUUUUGUGUCAUACCUUUUAGGUUGUAAGCCUGAGGGGACAGACUGUGAACUACUCUGGAAGGUUUUUUGACAGAAGAGUGAGAUUAAAAUGUUUUAAAUAAAUAAAUGCUCUCUGUAAGAACUGGCCCUUUCCUCUUGUUAAUUGUUUGCACUGCCUUUUGCGAGACCAUAGUGGUCCAAAAGAAAGCUGCUAUGAUUAAAUAAAUCACAUGGUAAAUAUAUACUGUCCCAACCUUCACAUGGAGGUGCCAGUUCUCACAGACAGCACCUUUAUAUGGGUGGUGCUGAACCACAAGCCCAGCAGCCAUGUUCAUGCAUUCCCGUGGCACUCAUGUGAGGGCUACCACAAGUGUGAAUUGGGCCAUAGAUUCAAUGUGGAGCCGUGGGAAAAUCACUUUCUCUUAACCUCUUUUCCCAUCUGUAAAUAAUCUGUCUACCUCACAGGGCUGUAGUGAGGUUAAAUGUACUAAAGAUUUACAGCUAAUUAGAAAAAGUGCCAGAUAAAUAAGUAGUUGACAUAGUACUCAAUUUGCUAAAGGGCUGGUGUUUAAUCAGGCAGAAUAUAAAAAGGUACCUAUUAUGCAGCAAUAAGGAAAGUGAAUUUGGUUAUCACUGCAAAUAUUUCCAGGCACUUCAGACAGAUUGUAGACUAAUCACAAAAUGUGCAAUCCUGUGGGGAAUAAAACUCUUAAUUAUGUGCUUAAAUCCCAUUGCGGACUGAGGCAUCCUUAGCAUUCUCAAGGAUGGACAAGAAGGUUUAGCACUCUUUACACAUUGUGCACACUGACGAGCGUUGUGGGAUAUAAUCAAAACUCUGUUGUAAUGACCCAACAAUCCAAGACCAAGAUCACUAUUCAGCCUGUCAUUUAGUGCUACAAGAAUGAACCUUGGCAAGCCUUGAGCUCACAUGCUUCCCCCUUCCCCAUCCGUUGGCACAGCUUCAGUUCCUUUCUUUUUCAACUAACCACCAUUUGUCAUUUUUAGUUUUAACUAUGGUUUAUCCAAACAAGUCAAGAACAUAAACCAGGGAUGGCUAGUCCUUUUUGUUGUGCAAGGGCUGGACUCUGGAGACACACCCCACUCCUCAGUUGAUCCAUGCAGAUCAGCUAAGGAGGGGGAUAAUAGCCCCUUGCUUGCUCAUCAAAUAUUCAAUUCAAUGACUGGGGUGCAGUUUGUAUCUCCUACAGGGCAUUGGUCUCCACUCACCCUAGCACUGUCUACUUUAUUUUUUCUCUCCUUUUUGCCAGUGCCACCAAUAUCAAUGGGAUCAUGGAGGGCCAGAAUAAUUUGAUUGGGAGGCAUAUAAGCCCCCAAACUGGGGCAAGCUAUCCCUGACAUAAACCAUUGUUUGAAGCUGGCUUGUUCAGACAAACCAUAGUUAACAUUAAUCAGAGUUUGUCUCAGUUCAACAUAACAACUAUGAAGCAAAUUUAAAGCAGAAACAAAUGCUUUCAAUCUCCUCCUCAUGGCUAUGUCAGAGGUGAAGAGGAGGUAGUGUGAGACUGAUCCCAAGGCUCAUUACAGUAGCACUACACUAUGGUUUAGCAUUACAUUCAAACAAAGCCAGGGUAUCCUUUGUGUACCAUAUGGCUGAGAAUGUUAAUUCCCGGCUAUAUAUUUUUAUAGCAUUCAGAUUUCCUUUUGGAAUAUAGACUAUUGGAUCAGAGAGGGAGCAGUCUGCACAAGUGAGAAACUGUUUUUUCCACAAUCAUUUCUCAAUGUGAGUUCAACUAUUUUUGAACCAGUGAGUGAUCAUGAACAGUCAUAACUACUGUUUAAUUAUAAUACUUAGGUGGCAAUUCUGUUUACACUCAUCUACGAAAAAGGCCCAUUGAAUAAAAGUAGACGUGCAUAGGACUGCAUUGUUAGUAUUUAUACAGAACUUUAAUAGGGAAAUUCUGACAGGAAUAGCUCUACCGUUAGGCAGAGUGAGACAACCACCUCAGAUGGCAGAUGCUGUGUGGCAGGAUUGCCAUCUUUUGCAGGGCAGAGAUGUGUGUGCCACACAGUCUGUCCUGUACCCCCUCAACUGCCCUGCUGCUCUGGGGGAUGUUAUCCCAUUGUAAAUGUUGAUUCAACUGCUAGCCUAGUUGGCUUCUGUGUGUGGAAUCAGUGGGAGGGCAUCUUCUUCUUUGCCUCAGGCAGCAAAAUGUUUUUGGGUUGGCGCUGAAUCCUGGGCAUGGUUACGGUCACAUCCCUACCAUACAUUUAAAGUACAUGGCUUCUCCCAAAGAAUCCUGGGAACAACACUUUGUUAAGGGUGGUGGGAAUGGUAGCUCCAUGAAGGUUAAACUACAGUUCCAAGGAUUCUUUGGGGGAAGCCAAGACUGUUAAAGUGGUAUAAAUGUGCUUUAAAUGUAUGGUGUGGAUGUGACCUAAGUUCCAUUGUGUUCAAUGGGGCUUCCUCCCAAAUAGGAAUGUUUAGGAUUGCAGCCUGAAGUGCUCAAAGUAUUCCCAAUAUAAACCACAUUAAAGUGUUCAAAAGAAUGUGUGAGGGCUUGCAGUGAGAAGAACCCCAAAUCUUUCCAUGUUGAGCAGGAAGGCCUGAAAGGAGGUUUGUAAGCAUAUCAUGCCCAUAAGUCUCCCUGUGAUCAGGAGCCUUACCUGAUCGUAAGAAGGCUAGCAAACAUGUUCAACUAAACAAGCUCCCUUCAGACCUUCUGGGGAGGUCAGGAGUGGUGCCAGUGCACCUGCCAUGGACAGGGACAUUCGGGGUGGAGCAGCAUGCAUGUACCAGCUCCCCAUCCCCAGUCUGAGCUCCCACACAUUCUUUUGAAUUAUUGAGUGGGGCUAUAGUUUCCCAAUUAUCUUACAACAAAACUAUGGCCACAUUCACACCAUACUUUUAUUCCACUGUAACCCCACUUUGAACAGUCAUGGCUUCUCACAAAGACUCCUGAGAAGAGUAGUUUGUGAAGGAUGCUGAGAGUUGUUUGGGGACCCCUGUUCCCCUCACAGAGCUACACAGAGUGGUUUAACAGUCAGUCUCUCUUCCCAGAGAACUCUGGGAAUUGUAGCUCUGUGAGGGGAAAGCUUUUGUGGCGGGAGAGGCUUUUUUGUGCCAGGUUUCCUCGGGCUCCAAAAUUUCUACAAAGAGCAUCAUUUUUCUUUACAUGUCUUCAAUAAGCCAGUGUGGCUUUUAUCUCCAACAAAUUACCUGGAUCUAUAUUUAACAUGUUAUUUAUCAUCUCUUGUCACAGAGCUUCUAGGACAACCUUUUUCUUUCCAGUCCAAACUCUAUUUUCACUCAUUCUGCAGCUGGAACACCAAUGGAGGUCACAAAAACUGCCUUUGCAUCUCUUCCCUGUGCAGAUUGCAGGAUCCAAGGAAGUCCCCAGAUGGAAAAAGUGGAGAUCCUAGUUGAAAGGCAUUUACAUAGGCACUUUCUGCUGCCUUGCCAUUGAUGUUUCCUGUGCUGAUUUGUUGAUAUUUCUGUGCAGUGUGGGUCACUGCAAUGUCACAGCUUACUGGCAACUACAUCCUGUCUGCUGAAUAGAAUGCGGAUAUAUUUGGUUUGGGGUAAAGGGGGAGGUCAGGUUAAAAGUUUGGCAAGCAGACUAAUAUGCCAUAUUUCCUCUAUGGGCCACUGAAAUUCUGCCUUGAGAACUCCUACACAGCUCCUUUCUCCGCCAAGCUCCCUGCUGCUGGUUUCUGGCCAUACACUCCCAUCUCCUAUGUAACUUUGCUGUUUCCUAGGAGAUGGCAUGCUGCUAACCCCACACCUCAUCUCCGAUGCCCGUGUGACAUCACCGGGUCAACACAGCCAUAAAACACUACAACUAAGGCACUGGAGUUAUGGCUUGACUCACUGCAAUAUUAGCAAAUCCUAAAGGACAUGUGAACCAGAGGAUGGACUGCAAGGUUUGCUUUUUCAUUAGAGUUGUUUUGAUGAGAACUAGACAUAGUGUCAUUGAAUGCAGACAUAAUAUACAGAGAGAGAGAGAGAGAGAGAGAGAGAGAGUCCAGAAGAUGUAGCAGUACAGGGAUCCGUACAGGGCAAGGAGAGAAAUGAAUUGCUUCAAGAAUGAAACAGGGUUGUUUGUGACACAAGCUGACCUUUUAGUUGCACCGUAGCACCAAAUGAGUCCUGAAGAUAUGUCAUCCUGUAGCUUCGGUUUCAAGACUAAACUCAACACAGAAAGUUCUGGAGCAAAUCACAGCACUAACAACUCAGUCCUUUCUGCAUGUUUCUCCUCAUAAAAGGAGAGAGGAUCCUCCAAUGAAAAGGUCCUAUCCUUCUGGAUCAACAACACUAUAAGAGCUUAGCUCCCAUACAGAAAGAAGGCAUUAUAUCUACCUCAGCUGACAUAUUUGCUGUUACUACAAAUAUUCCGUAAAUAAACCUUACAACUGGAAGUUC